Molecule: ribosomal RNA, 440 nt
Filed under: uncultured bacterium
Lineage: Bacteria
Description: partial 16S ribosomal RNA
Rfam family: Bacterial small subunit ribosomal RNA
Source: RNAcentral
CCUACGGGUGUCAGCAGUGGGGGAUAUUGCACAAUGGGGGGAACCCUGAUGCAGCGACGCCGCGUGGGUGAAGAAGCACCUCGGCGCGUAAAGCCCUGUCAGCAGGGAAGAAAAUGACGGUACCUGAAGAAGAAGCCCCGGCUAACUACGUGCCAGCAGCCGCGGUAAUACGUAGGGGGCAAGCGUUAUCCGGAUUUACGGGGUGUAAAGGGGGCGCAGGCGGCGAUGCAAGCCAGGAGGGAAAGCCCGGGGCCCAACCCCGGGACUGCUCUUGGAACUGCGUGGCUGGAGUGCAGGAGGGGCAGGCGGAAUUCCUGGUGUAGCGGUGAAAUGCGUAGAUAUGAGGAGGAACACCAGUGGCGAAGGCAGUCUGCUGGACAGCAACUGACGCUGAGGCGCGAAAGCGUGGGGAGCAAACAGGAUUAGAUACCCUAGUAGUC